AUCCCAGUAGCUCAGUAGUAGAGCGGUCAGCUAUUCACACUGAUUCGUCGUAGGUUCAAAUCCUACCUGGGAUC
Molecule: transfer RNA, 74 nt
Filed under: Prunus conradinae
Lineage: Eukaryota; Viridiplantae; Streptophyta; Magnoliopsida; Rosales; Rosaceae
Description: tRNA-Asn
Rfam family: tRNA
About the family: Transfer RNA (tRNA) molecules are approximately 80 nucleotides in length. Their secondary structure includes four short double-helical elements and three loops (D, anti-codon, and T loops). Further hydrogen bonds mediate the characteristic L-shaped molecular structure. tRNAs have two regions of fundamental functional importance: the anti-codon, which is responsible for specific mRNA codon recognition, and the 3' end, to which the tRNAs corresponding amino acid is attached (by aminoacyl-tRNA synthetases). tRNAs cope with the degeneracy of the genetic code in two manners: having more than one tRNA (with a specific anti-codon) for a particular amino acid; and 'wobble' base-pairing, i.e. permitting non-standard base-pairing at the 3rd anti-codon position.
Source: RNAcentral